AGAGGCUUCGACAAUGCCCGAAAGGGUGAUCGAGCGACGCCGCGUGUGGGAUGACGGUCUUCGGAUUGUAAACCACUUUUGUUUGGGAAGAAGGCCUGUAUCGUGAAUACGGGAUUGACGGUACCAUAGGAAUAAGGACCGGCUAACUCCGUGCCAGCAGCCGCGGUAAUACGGAGGGUCCAAGCGUUAUCCGGAUUUAUUGGGUUUAAAGGGUACGUAGGCGGAAGAUUAAGUCAGUAGUGAAAGCCUCCCGCUCAACGGGAGAAUUGCUAUUGAUACUGAUUUUCUUGAAUAUAGUUGAAGUAGGCGGAAUACGACAUGUAGCGGUGAAAUGCAUAGAUAUGUCGUGGAACACCGAUCGCGAAGGCAGCUUACUAAGCUAUUAUUGACGCUGAUGUACGAAAGCGUGGGGAGCGAA
Molecule: ribosomal RNA, 418 nt
Filed under: uncultured bacterium
Lineage: Bacteria
Description: bacterial SSU rRNA
Rfam family: Bacterial small subunit ribosomal RNA
Source: RNAcentral